AGAUUUUCAGUAGGUGGGCCACAUUGUUUAGAACUUUUGGCCUAAAAAUCAGGUUGUUUAACUCCUGGGUAGGCCAUAAUAUGCCAAAAAAAAAAAAAAAAGAAUUGGCAUAAAAAAGAAGUCAUCUGUGGAUAAAGUGUAACAAGUACUUUGUUUCUUGUGCCACAAAAAUCUUAUGGAUAAAGUGUAAUGAGUACUUUGUGAAACUACACAUCCAAAUAGCCCAACUGUCUUUUUAGUGGAAAACAAUUUCCAAGCACGCAUGGAUUUUGUGUAUCCAAAGAUGCCUUAAAAGGCAAAACCCAACAUCAUUUACCAUUUUCAAUUAUUCCUUAAUCAUGGGUUCUCACUUUCCAUUUGUCAUACUAUUCUUGCUACAGGUUACGCCAUACAAGAAAAUACGACGAGUAGCUUUCGUAAACUCGAUACCAAAAUGCGCUGCCGGAAAGAUCUUGAGGAGGGAGCUGGUGAUCAUUUUAAGUCCAUUGGGUGGCUCCUGCAGAGGAUGGACUACUCUCCACAAUGCUUUUCUUUUUACAAGCAUAUCGAAUUCUACAUUUAAUGGAUUUUGGAUCAGAGAUCAUUCCAAUGGCUGCUGAAGAAUACAAUGUUCAGAUGAAGGAAUGGGUAUUGUAUGUUGGAACAAAAGGUUGCUGAUAACAGGUCAGACUUUUGGUUGGGGCAUAGUUAGUACCUGAUGUAUAGGUUGGGGCAGAGUUACUGUUUCAUGUGGUGGGUUGCUAAUCUAAGAGAAUUACAGUCGCACACAAGAAAACUCUUGUGUGCUUCUGUUUUUUUUUCCUCCAUUCAUUGUUACUUCUGUUUUGCCAACAGUCUUCAUUAGAACUUGUGGCUUUCCAUUUCAUCAUCAUCACCAGGUUUAGUUUAAUCCACUGAUGAAUCUACAACAGAUCAUCAUCAUCAUCAUCAUUGGGUUCAGCUUAAUCUACUGGCAAAGUUUUUUAAGAAGCUACCACCUUGGAAAUUUUGGUCCAUUCCAUACUUGAUUUAUGAAAGCUAACAACUUCGUGAGAAGAGU
This is an RNA transcript of Magnolia sinica, 1039 nucleotides long. RefSeq lists it as uncharacterized. NCBI's taxonomy places the organism in Eukaryota, Viridiplantae, Streptophyta, Magnoliopsida, Magnoliales, Magnoliaceae. The transcript has 4 exons. The record is from RefSeq and is a predicted model, not a curated record.